UCGGGUGUGGUGCAUGGUGCACGGCGACUCGCGUUCAUUCCGCAGGUUGAGGUUGUUUAUAGACUGCAGCCCGGGGUUCGACUCCCCGCACCUGAA
Non-coding RNA from Mycena capillaripes, 96 nucleotides. NCBI's taxonomy places the organism in Eukaryota, Fungi, Basidiomycota, Agaricomycetes, Agaricales, Mycenaceae. The record is from the annotation of a GenBank genome assembly.